UGGGGAAUAUUGCACAAUGGGCGCAAGCCUGAUGCAGCCAUGCCGCGUGUGUGAAGAAGGCCUUCGGGUUGUAAAGCACUUUCAGCGGGGAGGAAGGCGUUAAGGUUAAUAACCUUGGCGAUUGACGUUACCCGCAGAAGAAGCACCGGCUAACUCCGUGCCAGCAGCCGCGGUAAUACGGAGGGUGCAAGCGUUAAUCGGAAUUACUGGGCGUAAAGCGCACGCAGGCGGUUUGUUAAGUCAGAUGUGAAAUCCUCGGGCUCAACCUGGGAACUGCAUCUGAUACUGGCAAGCUUGAGUAUCGUAGAGGGGGGUAGAAUUCCAGGUGUAGCGGUGAAAUGCGUAGAGAUCUGGAGGAAUACCGGUGGCGAAGGCGGCCCCCUGGACAAAGACUGACGCUCAGGUGCGAAAGCGUGGGGAGCAAACAGG
This 429-nucleotide ribosomal RNA is filed under the name Chloroflexota bacterium. RNAcentral describes it as "Chloroflexi bacterium partial 16S ribosomal RNA". It matches the Rfam family "Bacterial small subunit ribosomal RNA", at positions 355 to 776 of the family's 1533-position model. The record is from RNAcentral. Lineage: Bacteria; Bacillati; Chloroflexota.